Molecule: non-coding RNA, 29 nt
Filed under: Homo sapiens (human)
Lineage: Eukaryota; Metazoa; Chordata; Mammalia; Primates; Hominidae
Source: RNAcentral
UGACAGGACAGGAGGUCAGAUACAUCUGG